AAGACUAGUAUGAAUGGNACCACNAGGGCUUAACGUCUCCCCCCUCCAAUCAAUGAAACUGAUCUCCCCGUGAAGAAGCGGGGAUAAUAAUAUAAGACGAGAAGACCCCAUGGAGCUUUAAACUCAUCACCAAUUACUUAACCUUAAACCACUAUAAAGGGUAAAGAUGUUCUUGAUAGUUUUCGGCUGGGGUGACCCUGGAGUAAAACAAACCCUCCAGAAUGAAAGGAAUAAAUCCUAACCCAAGAAUUACAAUUCUAAGAAUCAAAAACUUGACAUUAAUGAUCCAAUUACUUGAUCAACGAACCAAGUUACCCUGGGGAUAACAGCGCAAUCCAUUUCAAGAGCCCCUAUCGACAAAUGGGUUUACGACCUCGAUGUUGGAUCGGGGUAUCCUGGUGGCGCAGCCGCUACCAAAGGUUCGUUUGUUCAACGAUUAAUAACCCCACGUGAUCUG
This 457-nucleotide ribosomal RNA is filed under the name Afrixalus delicatus. RNAcentral's name for it is "partial 16S ribosomal RNA". It matches the Rfam family "Bacterial large subunit ribosomal RNA", at positions 1983 to 2607 of the family's 2925-position model. The record is from RNAcentral. Lineage: Eukaryota; Metazoa; Chordata; Amphibia; Anura; Hyperoliidae.